This 253-nucleotide ribosomal RNA is filed under the name uncultured bacterium. RNAcentral describes it as "partial 16S ribosomal RNA". It matches the Rfam family "Bacterial small subunit ribosomal RNA", at positions 524 to 776 of the family's 1533-position model. The record is from RNAcentral.
CACGUACUGUGCGAACGUUAUUCGGAAUCACUGGGCUUAAAGGGUGCGUAGGCGGCGAUUCAAGUCAGAUGUGAAAUGCCUGAGCUCAACUGAGGCAUUGCGUUUGAAACUGAAUUGCUAGAGUAUCCUAGGGGUGUGCGGAACUGCCAGUGGAACGGUGAAAUGUGUUGAUAUUGGCAGGAACACCGGAGGCGAAAGCGGCACACUGGGGGAUAACUGACGCUGAGGUGCGAAAGCGUGGGGAGCAAACAGG